AUCAUCUCUUGAAGCUUCAACUUCACUACUUCUGUAGUCUCAUCUUGAGUAAAAGAGAACCCAGCCAACUAUGAAGUUCCUUGUCUUUGCCUUCAUCUUGGCUCUCAUGGUUUCCAUGAUUGGAGCUGAUUCAUCUGAAGAGAAAUUUUUGCGUAGAUUGGGAAGAUACAGUGUAAGUAUUCUCUGAUAAUGCUGUGUAGUCCAAAUAAAUUGUAUUAUCUGAUUACUUAUUCUUCUAGAAGAACCAAUACUUAUUUCUCAAAUAUGUGUAGUAGUUGCAAAAGUGUGUUUUGUUUUCCUCUAUUUAUGAUACACAGGUAACAGUCACAAAUGUAUUGUGUCCUAACAACAUUUAAGUUGAAACUCAUAGUGCCAACCUGAAGAAACCAGUUACUCUCUGAGCCCUCAAGUAUCAUCUCCUAAGUAAUCACUUUGACCUAAAAAAUAGUUGAAAUUCUAAUUCUGUUAAUUAUAAUAUAUGUCUCAUGGAGCAUAAAGGCUGAUAAUUACACAUAAAAUAUGGUAAGUUUGCACCUUCUGAUUUUUUUGAUGAUGAUAAACUCAUUAAAUUAAACAGGUCAUGAUAAAUGAGAUAGCAAAUUUCAUUUCUUUAACAUUUUUCUUAAUGUAUGUAUCUUGACGUCCCAGUAUGUUGACAUAUAAUGUCAAUGUGACAGAGUUGCAAAAGAUCCCCUAACUAAUAUAGUGAAUACAUGGAUUAAAAUAACA
RNAcentral lists this small RNA (729 nucleotides) under Pongo abelii (Sumatran orangutan). RNAcentral's name for it is "retained intron". The record is from RNAcentral. Lineage: Eukaryota; Metazoa; Chordata; Mammalia; Primates; Hominidae.